This 253-nucleotide ribosomal RNA is filed under the name uncultured bacterium. RNAcentral's name for it is "partial 16S ribosomal RNA". It matches the Rfam family "Bacterial small subunit ribosomal RNA", at positions 524 to 776 of the family's 1533-position model. The record is from RNAcentral.
UACGUAGGGUGCGAGCGUUGCCCGGAUUUAUUGGGCGUAAAGGGCGCGUAGGCGGCUCUGCACGUCCGUUGUGAAAUCGCCCGGCUCAACUGGGCGGGGUCAGCGGAUACGGCGGAGCUUGAGCAAGCUAGGGGGCAAUGGAAUUCCGGGUGUAGCGGUGGAAUGCGUAGAGAUCCGGAAGAACACCGGUGGCGAAGGCGGCCUGCUGGGCAGUAGCUGACGCUGAGGCGCGACAGCGUGGGGAGCAAACGGG